GAUGAACGCUGGCGGCGUGCCUAAUACAUGCCAGUAGAACGCUGAAGGAAGGAGCUUGCUCUUUCCGGAUGAGUUGCGAACGGGUGAGUAACGCGUAGGUAACCUGCCUGGUAGCGGGGGAUAACUAUUGGAAACGAUAGCUAAUACCGCAUAACAGUAGAUGUUGCAUGAUAUCUACUUAAAAGGUGCAAUUGCACCACUACCAGAUGGACCUGCGUUGUAUUAGCUAGUUGGUGAGGUAACGGCUCACCAAGGCGACGAUACAUAGCCGACCUGAGAGGGUGAUCGGCCACACUGGGACUGAGACACGGCCCAGACUCCUACGGGAGGCAGCAGUAGGGAAUCUUCGGCAAUGGACGGAAGUCUGGCCGAGCAACGCCGCGUGAGUGAAGAAGGUUUUCGGAUCGUAAAGCUCUGUUGUAAGAGAAGAACGAGUGUGAGAGUGGAAAGUUCACACUGUGACGGUAUCUUACCAGAAAGGGACGGCUAACUACGUG
Molecule: ribosomal RNA, 497 nt
Filed under: uncultured bacterium
Lineage: Bacteria
Description: partial 16S ribosomal RNA
Rfam family: Bacterial small subunit ribosomal RNA
Source: RNAcentral